This 367-nucleotide ribosomal RNA is filed under the name uncultured eukaryote. RNAcentral describes it as "partial 18S ribosomal RNA". It matches the Rfam family "Eukaryotic small subunit ribosomal RNA", at positions 592 to 976 of the family's 1831-position model. The record is from RNAcentral.
CACUAGCGUAUAUUAAAGUUGUUGCAGUUAAAAAGCUCGUAGUUGAACUUCUGUGUGGGGCUAGUUCGGAGUUCUCUCUGGCUAGUUCCAUACAUCCGCUUGCAAGACCUGGAGGGCAUUCAUUUGUCGCCAGGAGGAGCAGGCUGUUUACUUUGAAAAAAUUAGAGUGUUUAAGGCAGGCAAUCGCCCGCAUAUAUUAGCAUGGAAUAAUAGAAUAGGACACUUUUCCAUUUCGUUGGUUAUUGGAAUCGUGUAAUGAUUAAUAGGGACAGUUGUGGGCAUUUGUAUUUAAUUGUCAGAGGUGAAAUUCUUGGAUUUAUUAAAGACAAACUAACGCGAAAGCAUUUGCCAAGGAUGUUUUCAUUAA